GACGAACGCUGGCGGCGUGCUUAACACAUGCAAGUCGAACGGAAAGGCCCUGCUUUUGUGGGGUGCUCGAGUGGCGAACGGGUGAUUAACACGUGAGUAACCUGCCCUUGACUUUGGGAUAACUUCAGGAAACUUGGGCUCAUACCGGAUAGGAGCUCCUGCUGCAUGGUGGGGGUUGGAUAGUUUCGUCGGUUGGGGAUGGACUCGCGGCUUAUCAGCUUGUUGGUGGGGUAGUGGCUUACCAAGGAUUUGACGGGUAGCCGGCCUGAGAGGGUGACCGGCCACAGAGGGACAGGGAUACGGCCCAGAGGCAAACGGGAGGAAGGAGUGGAGAAUAGUGCAAAAUGGGCGGAAGCCGGAUGGAGCAACGCCGCGUGCGGAAUGACGGCCUUCGGGUAGUAAACGGCUUUCGCCUGUAACGAGGCGUGAGUGACGGAAAUGGGUAAAGAAGCACCGGCUAACUACGU
This 467-nucleotide ribosomal RNA is filed under the name uncultured bacterium. RNAcentral describes it as "partial 16S ribosomal RNA". It matches the Rfam family "Bacterial small subunit ribosomal RNA", at positions 28 to 506 of the family's 1533-position model. The record is from RNAcentral.